Long non-coding RNA from Phragmites australis (common reed), 3726 nucleotides. RefSeq lists it as uncharacterized. The transcript has 5 exons. The record is from RefSeq and is a predicted model, not a curated record. Lineage: Eukaryota; Viridiplantae; Streptophyta; Magnoliopsida; Poales; Poaceae.
AGAUCUUAUUCUAUGCUGUAUUUUUCUGAUCGUGCAGCUGAGAGUUAGAAGGAGAACAAAAAAUUUUAUGAAACGAGGUCCGGUAGAAUUUCCUUCCCCGAGCACCCUCCCACGUGCCCUCCUGCUCCGCGCAGUGCUAUCCUCGAUCCAGCCAGCGCCCCAGAUAGUCCUGUCCUCGCUCCACCCAGCGCCAAUGCCGCGGAUCGUCCUCGCUCCAGCCAGCACCGGCGCCCUCCCCUGUGGUACCCCGCCCUCCCAAGGCGUCUGAUCGGACCACGGUCCCCCGCCCUCCAGCCAGCGCCGGCGCCAUCACCAGGUCAAGCCGGGGAGAAGGCCAGUCAAGAUCGAUCGACGAGGUGAGUACAGGGAGAAGCCCAGCCCCAUCAACUUUGAUCGAUCCUCUGAAACCCUCGCUCCAACCUUUUGGGAUCGAUCCGCCGCUGCGCGAUUCCGCAGAUACGAGGUAUUAUUUUGGAACGCGUUCUCUGGCAAUGAUCCUAAAAGGCCUUUGACGAACUCCGAAAUAGUAGGAGAAGUAAGCCACACUGUAAAGAAAUCAACUACAGAUCCUCUAAUUGUAUCGCUACGCUUCUGCUACAUAUUCAUUUUGUUGAUCAAGUGUUGUUGACAAUAUUAGCCAUCUCAAGACAAAGACAAAUCAAAAUAAUUUGAAGUUUGAAAAGGAGAAGGGGAUAUCACCAAAAAUACAAAAACCUAUAGAUGAUAAAAAUAUUGGAACAGAUUCAGACUCGACUCGAUGUCGAGGAAGGCUUCGCAAAGAUGAACAAAGACACUAAGCAUAGUGAUGGAGUUUGGAUUUAAGUGGUGGAGCUCGAUUUGGUACCAGUCAAGUACAUUGAGAAGAAACUUAGAAGGGGGAACGUUGAAUCCACAUCGGAAGAAGGAUUCAAAAACCAUGAUCUCAUAAUCAAAUCGGCAAGAUGGGAAUUCCUCACCAGAUGCAAGCCUCUAGUCGACCAGAUCGUGAUGAGGUACUAUCCCUUCAACUUGAAGCUCCUUUACCCUUGAUUCUUGCAUCAAUGAAAUCACACCAACUUCAGUCAGGUGCUUCAUCUCGUCUAUCUGCUCAAGGGAGGCACCGUCGGUCUUCAUGUCGGGCUGUUUCUCCAGUGAAGAAGGAGCGAGGUCUUCGCAGGGGAGCCGGAAUCCACGAGUCCAAGUCUUUCGACAGCGGUGCGUGUUUGGGUAGAGAAAUAUGAAAGCUUGUGCGAGAAGGUUGAGGGCAAGAGUGAGAAAGAAUUGCUAUAGUUCAGAUUUGUACAGAUAAAUAACCCAAAAUUUAUCGCCUUUUUGGUAACCACUCAUGUCUCUAUGGUGCUUUGAUCGGUGUGAAAGACAAGAUGAUGGCAUUGUGAGUCUCCGCACACCCGUUUGCGUGCAUUAAAUGCUCCUGUACCCAACGGUUCAAAUUUCGAAGGUUUUUUUUAACUCUACUCGGAGUCUAGUGUCGAUCAUCGAGGUUUUAGUCCUCCUUUUGAAUCUCAAGUGCGGUUAACACUAGGGUGCUCGACUCAAGUGCGUUUCCACUCGAUACUCGGAACAUGAUCCGUUUUCUGCUAGAUUCUUUUGACUGCAAGCCUGCUCCACCUUACUCGACUAGACUUAGACUUGGUAGUACUCGAGUGGGCACUUGUAUAAACUUUUCCUCCUGAGCAAAGUUAGAGGGCUACUAUCGAAUAUCUAACUAUGAGGUAUAUACGUAUAAAGAAUACACUAUAUAUAGACAGGGUAUACCCUGAACAUUUAUAAUAACUUUAGAUACUACGGAACCGAAUCUACGGUAUUUGAUACAUCCAGAAAUCUAGAAGACAUAUACUAGGAAUGUCUCGAUUGGAUGCCCAACUCUAGAACAACUAGUAAUAGUCGAUAUGGAGUCCAUUUUGUCCACCAUGACAAAGCAGAUGAAUUUGACUUGGAUACUAAAAAUAUCUCGAUUGGUUGCCCAAACUCUAGAACGACUAGUAUCCAAGUUGGAUUCAUCUGCUUUGUUAUGGUGGACAAGAUGAAGGACUUCAUAUUGACUAUGUUUGGAUAGGACGCGGCAUAUCAGUCUUAUAUAAAGCGGGAACCCAAACCCCCGAGAGAAAAAACUCAAGGCACAUCAAGACAUAUACAUCUCAACGCAAGCACCAAGACCCUAGCAUAGGACUAGUCCCUGUAAUAGGUCUGAUCUACUCUCUGUAAUAGGUCUGGUCACAUUGUUUGUAUUUGAGUUGAUCAAUACUAUAAUAACAUCCAAACAGAACUAGAGGAUUACUCCUUCCGAAUGCUCGAACCUGUCUACAUCACGUAUCUCGAUUCGUAUUCAAUUUCUGAUCUCAAUGGUACCUCAGUCAAUUACGAACAUAUUGUCGUAAACAAAUCUUUGACAAUUUGACAUGUCCUUAUGAAUUUUAUUUGUCACUAAUAUUGCUAAUUUUUUGUUAUCUUAAUAUGUAUGGACAAGUUGCAAGGAUGUGUCGCGUUAUUUUGUAUUAGUUCCACCUAAUCAAUUAUAUUAUUUGUAAAAACUUUAGGCUCCUGGCACAUCAGACGUCCAGGCACCACUCACGAAAAAGAUACAGGGAUGAAAAAAGUAGAAAUACUAUAUUAUGGUGAAAACUUGAUUUAAUGUUUGGAACAUAAUAAAAAUCCUUAUGGCAUAUCUUCUUAAUAUGAUUAGCCUCGAUAAAAUUUCUUUGUGAAAAAAGGUGAAAACUGUUCACGACAUGGACUAUCUUUCUGCAGCUUUUCUUGUUCUAAAUGAUUGUUCGAGAAAAGGAUUCAUUGUCUUCUUUAGGAGUAUAUUUAGCAUACGUUUUUCUUUCUGAAACAAGAGUCCUCUAAUAGACCAAGGGUUUGUUUGUUUCAGUCUAGUCUUUAGAAUUCGUAAAAACCACUUUCCAUUAGGUUAUGGAUUAUAGAAUUUCAUAUUAUAAUGUGAAUUGUCAAAAUCAACUUUCAGAUUGACCAUUUCUUUUUGCUUUUGGUCUAGAAUUUAUAAUUAGAAUAAAAACAAAUAGGAUUUAAACCAGCCUAGCAAUUACACAAGGUGAACAUUCUGUUAUAUGUUUUUUGGCACAAAAAAAAUUAUCUUUAAGACAGUUGAAAAUUUAAGAUUCGCAAACCAAAAUUAGCAUUUUGAAUUUUAUUUGUCUAUUUAGAUGCUAAACCGCACUAGUCAAUUACUCGAGGCGUUGCCCGUGGAGUUCCUUUUAUACUAAGCACUAAAUUGUAACUAUGGUGGAUUAAUAGAUAGAGUUGCAUAGUUGACACUACUUCUGAAUAACUCUGAAUGUACAUAGAUAUUUUUCCAAAUUAUUGUGAUACUUCAAAAUUCCUGCAAAACUCAAUCAAAGAGGUUGUAGUUUCAUGUGCUAGAAUGGUAUACUUCUUUACUUUUCUACUAGUUUCAUAUGAAAUGCAGUGAUACUCAACCAACGGAACAGCGCUCGGUUCUCUCUAGACCACACAUAUCAUAUCACAAGUCGUAAUUGGCUGUCCUAGCAUGACCGUAAUGGAGAUCUGUGAAUAUGAACGACAGAAACUUUAUAUUGGAGAUUGAGUAUCAAUGUACUUCAUAACUCAAACCAACAAAUGCCAUGGUUUAUAGCAUUUUUUCCCGUCCCAACCAUGUGAAGUUAUGAACUUGUGGAUACUAGCAAUCACGUACGUGAUUAAUUUUAAUUGUGAAUUGUUUGAUCAUAUGCGAUGAAGAUCGCUCGA